RNAcentral lists this ribosomal RNA (451 nucleotides) under uncultured bacterium. RNAcentral describes it as "SSU rRNA". It matches the Rfam family "Bacterial small subunit ribosomal RNA", at positions 26 to 477 of the family's 1533-position model. The record is from RNAcentral.
AGAACGAACGCUGGCGGCGUGGAUAAGACAUGCAAGUCGAACGCGAUUUAUCAGGUUAGCAAUAACUUGGUAAAUUGAGUGGCGAAAGGGUGCGUAACACGUGGGAAUUUACCAAGAAGUGGGGAAUAGCUCGACGAAAGUCGAAUUAAUACCGCAUAUGAUCGCAAGAUCAAAGCCGGGGACCGCAAGGCCUGGCGCUUUUUGAGAAGCCCGCGGCCCAUCAGCUAGUUGGCGGGUAACGGCCCACCAAGGCUAUGACGGGUAGCUGGUCUGAGAGGACGACCAGCCACACUGGAACUGAGACACGGUCCAGACACCUACGGGUGGCAGCAGUCGAGAAUUUUUCACAAUGGACGAAAGUCUGAUGGAGCGACGCCGCGUGGAGGAUGAAGGUUUCGGAUUGUAAACUCCUGUCACUGCAGAACAAGGAUAUGCCAGUUACAGCCGUGUA